RNAcentral lists this ribosomal RNA (423 nucleotides) under uncultured archaeon. Its description in RNAcentral is "partial 16S ribosomal RNA". It matches the Rfam family "Archaeal small subunit ribosomal RNA", at positions 323 to 746 of the family's 1478-position model. The record is from RNAcentral.
CUACGGGACGCAGCAGGCGCGAAACUUCUACAAUGCACGAAAGUGUGAUAGGGGGAUCCUUGGUGCUUAUACUUUGUAUAGGCUUUUGUUAAAGGUAAAUUCUUUAGCGAAUAAGUGGUGGGAAAGACCGGUGCCAGCAGCCGCGGUACAUACCGGCGCCACAAGUGGCGAUCAGUUUUAUUGGGUCUAAAGCGUUCGUAGCUGGUUUAAUAAAUCUUUUGUGAAAUUGUCUAGCUUAACUAGUCAACGUGCAGAAGACACUGUUAAACUAGAGACCGGGAGGGGUUAGAAGUAUUUCAAGGGGAACGGUAAAAUGUUAUAAUCCUUGAAAGACUACCAAUGGCGAAGGCAUCUAACCAGAACGGAUCUGACAGUGAGGAACGAAGGCCAGGGGAGCGAACCGGAUUAGAUACCCGAGUAGUC